GCCGGUAUGGCUCAGUGGAUAGAGCGUCAGCCUGCAGACUGAAGGGUCCCAGGUUCGAUUCCGGUCAAGGGCA
This is a non-coding RNA of Myotis davidii, 73 nucleotides long. NCBI's taxonomy places the organism in Eukaryota, Metazoa, Chordata, Mammalia, Chiroptera, Vespertilionidae. The record is from Rfam.